This 34-nucleotide non-coding RNA is filed under the name Trypanosoma brucei brucei. Lineage: Eukaryota; Euglenozoa; Kinetoplastea; Trypanosomatida; Trypanosomatidae. The record is from RNAcentral.
AAAUAUCAUAUAUGGCGGGUAUAGAGCGUUGUAU